ACCUUCGUCGUGUAACGGUAGCACACUCGGCGCGCAUUCGAGAGGUCCAGGUUCAAAUCCCGGCGAGGGCA
Molecule: transfer RNA, 71 nt
Filed under: Stegodyphus mimosarum
Lineage: Eukaryota; Metazoa; Arthropoda; Arachnida; Araneae; Eresidae
Rfam family: tRNA
About the family: Transfer RNA (tRNA) molecules are approximately 80 nucleotides in length.
Source: Rfam by way of RNAcentral